UCAGGAUGAACGCUAGCUACAGGCCUAACACAUGCAAGUCGAGGGGCAGCAUGGGAGAAGCUUGCUUUCCCGAUGGCGACCGGCGAAUGGGUGAGUCCACGCGUGUCCAACCUGCCCCCCGCCCGGGGAUAGCCCUUGGAAAUGAGGAUUAAGACCCGAUAGGUGGCGUUUCCGCAUGGCGGCGCCAUGAAGCGAGGCGGGGGAUGGGACGCGUCGGAUUAGCUUGACGGCGGGGCAACGGCCCACCGUGGCGACGAUCCGCAGGGGUUCUGAGAGGAAGGUCCCCCACACUGGCACUGGGACACGGGCCAGACUCCUACGGGAGGCAGCAGUGAGGAAUAUUGGUCAAUGGCCGAGAGGCUGAACCAGCCAAGUAGCGUGCAGGAAUGACGGCCCUACGGGUUGUAAACUGCUUUUGCGGGAGGAUAAAGUGCGCUACGUGUAGCGCUUUGCAGGUAUCCCGUGAAUAAGGACCGGCUAAUUCCGUGCCAGCAGCUGC
RNAcentral lists this ribosomal RNA (499 nucleotides) under uncultured bacterium. Its description in RNAcentral is "bacterial SSU rRNA". It matches the Rfam family "Bacterial small subunit ribosomal RNA", at positions 24 to 518 of the family's 1533-position model. The record is from RNAcentral.